GUUCUCCUCCUCGUCGCAGUAGAAAUACGGCUGCACCGAGUCGUAGUCGAGGUCAUAGUUCCUGUUGGUGAAGCUAACGUUGAGGGGCAUCGUCGCGGGAGGCUGCUGGAGCGGGGCACACAAAGCGGGAGGCAGUCUUGAGUUAAAGGGGUCUUGGUGCGGAAACCUGGCGCAGCGCGCAGUGCGCGCCACAGUCCCGAACCUCUCCCCUUGCAGAGCUAUCCCCUAAAGCGGCUGGGUGGUCUUGGUGGGGGAAUAAAGGGAGCACCCUUUCACCCCCUUUGGACAGUCCCCUGCUAUCUCGGAGACGCACUUAGUGAACCAGCGGCUUGGUGCCCGCCGAGCCCCCGCUCCCCCGGGAGCCCGGAGCGCAAAGCCCGGGAGUCGGCCCCGCAGCGGCAGAGGAAUCGAAAUCGGCCCUGGCGCCCUUAAGAAGCCGCGGGAGGUGGCGGUGAGGAAAACAAUUUGCCAAAAUCCAAGGCACAAAGUUUUGCGCCACCUGAAGGAGAAGGCGAGAGGCGCCUGGGCGCUAGCGGCUGCGUGAACCCCGCUCCGCGCCGGGGCCCCUCCGCUGCGG
This 577-nucleotide long non-coding RNA is filed under the name Homo sapiens (human). RNAcentral's name for it is "non-protein coding lnc-FAM84B-21:2". The record is from RNAcentral. Lineage: Eukaryota; Metazoa; Chordata; Mammalia; Primates; Hominidae.